CUUUGUGGAGAGGUGCUAUCAG
This 22-nucleotide non-coding RNA is filed under the name Arabidopsis thaliana (thale cress). Lineage: Eukaryota; Viridiplantae; Streptophyta; Magnoliopsida; Brassicales; Brassicaceae. The record is from RNAcentral.